AGGUAAGCUACUAAGAGCGAAUGGUGGAUGCCUUGACUGGUAAAGGCGAUGAAGGACGUACUAGACUGCGAUAAGCUACGGGGAGCUGUCAAGAAGCUUUGAUCCGUAGAUUUCCGAAUGGGGCAACCCAAUGUAUAGAGAUAUACAUUACCUAUAUAGGAGCGAACGAGGGGAAUUGAAACAUCUUAGUACCCUCAGGAAAAGAAAUCAAUAGAGAUUGCGUCAGUAGCGGCGAGCGAAAGCGCAAGAGGGCAAACCCAGUGCUUGCACUGGGGGUUGUAGGACUGCAAUGUGCAAGAGGUAAGUUUAGCAGAACAUUCUGGAAAGUAUAACCAUAGAGGGUGAUAGUCCCGUAUGCGAAAAACAAACCUUAGCUAGCAGUAUCCUGAGUAGGGCGGGACACGAGGAAUCCUGUCUGAAUCCGGGUCGACCACGAUCCAACCCUAAAUACUAAUACCAGAUCGAUAGUGCACAAGUACCGUGAGGGAAAGGUGAAAAGAACUGAGGUGAUCAGAGUGAAAUAGAACCUGAAACCAUUUGCUUACAAUCAUUCAGAGCCCUAUGUAGCAAUACAGGGUGAUGGACUGCCUUUUGCAUAAUGAGCCUGCGAGUUGUGGUGUCUGGCAAGGUUAAGCAAACGCGAAGCCGUAGCGAAAGCGAGUCUGAAUAGGGCGCUUAGUCAGAUGCUGCAGACCCGAAACGAAGUGAUCUAUCCAUGAGCAAGUUGAAGCUAGUGUAAGAACUAGUGGAGGACUGAACCCAUAGGCGUUGAAAAGCCCCGGGAUGACUUGUGGAUAGGGGUGAAAGGCCAAUCAAACUUCGUGAUAGCUGGUUCUCUCCGAAAUAUAUUUAGGUAUAGCGUUGUGUCGUAAUAUAAGGGGGUAGAGCACUGAAUGGGCUAGGGCAUACACCAAUGUACCAAACCCUAUCAAACUCCGAAUACCUUAUAUGUAAUCACAGCAGUCAGGCGGCGAGUGAUAAAAUCCGUCGUCAAGAGGGAAACAACCCAGACUACCAGCUAAGGUCCCUAAGUCUUACUUAAGUGGAAAACGAUGUGAAGUUACUUAAACAACCAGGAGGUUGGCUUAGAAGCAGCCAUCCUUUAAAGAAAGCGUAAUAGCUCACUGGUCUAGUGAUUUUGCGCGGAAAAUAUAACGGGGCUAAAGUAAGUACCGAAGCUGUAGACUUAGUUUACUAAGUGGUAGGAGAGCGUUCUAUUUGCGUCGAAGGUAUACCGGUAAGGAGUGCUGGAGCGAAUAGAAGUGAGCAUGCAGGCAUGAGUAGCGAUAAUUAAUGUGAGAAUCAUUAACGCCGUAAACCCAAGGUUUCCUACGCGAUGCUCGUCAUCGUAGGGUUAGUCGGGUCCUAAGUCGAGUCCGAAAGGGGUAGACGAUGGCAAAUUGGUUAAUAUUCCAAUACCAACAUUAGUGUGCGAUGGAAGGACGCUUAGGGCUAAGGGGGCUAGCGGAUGGAAGUGCUAGUCUAAGGUCGUAGGAGGUUAUACAGGCAAAUCCGUAUAACAAUACUCCGAGAACUGAAAGGCUUUUUGAAGUCUUCGGAUGGAUAGAAGAACCCCUGAUGCCGUCGAGCCAAGAAAAGUUUCUAAGUUUAGCUAAUGUUGCCCGUACCGUAAACCGACACAGGUGGGUGGGAUGAGUAUUCUAAGGCGCGUGGAAGAACUCUCUUUAAGGAACUCUGCAAAAUAGCACCGUAUCUUCGGUAUAAGGUGUGGUUAGCUUUGUAUUAGGAUUUACUCCGAAAGCAAGGAAACUUACAACAAAGAGUCCCUCCCGACUGUUUACCAAAAACACAGCACUCUGCUAACUCGUAAGAGGAUGUAUAGGGUGUGACGCCUGCCCGGUGCUCGAAGGUUAAUUGAUGGGGUUAGCAUUAG
Molecule: ribosomal RNA, 1894 nt
Filed under: Campylobacter jejuni
Lineage: Bacteria; Pseudomonadati; Campylobacterota; Epsilonproteobacteria; Campylobacterales; Campylobacteraceae
Description: partial 23S ribosomal RNA
Rfam family: Bacterial large subunit ribosomal RNA
Source: RNAcentral